Molecule: ribosomal RNA, 820 nt
Filed under: uncultured bacterium
Lineage: Bacteria
Description: bacterial SSU rRNA
Rfam family: Bacterial small subunit ribosomal RNA
Source: RNAcentral
GGUUUGUUAAGUCAGAUGUGAAAGCCCGGGGCUCAACCUCGGAACUGCAUUUGAAACUGGCAGGCUAGAGUCUUGUAGAGGGGGGUAGAAUUUCAGGUGUAGCGGUGAAAUGCGUAGAGAUCUGAAGGAAUACCAGUGGCGAAGGCGGCCCCCUGGACAAAGACUGACGCUCAGAUGCGAAAGCGUGGGUAGCAAACAGGAUUAGAUACCCUGGUAGUCCACGCCGUAAACGCUGUCUACUUGGAGGUUGAGGUUUAGACUUUGGCUUUCGGCGCUAACGCAUUAAGUAGACCGCCUGGGGAGUACGGCCGCAAGGUUAAAACUCAAAUGAAUUGACGGGGGCCCGCACAAGCGGUGGAGCAUGUGGUUUAAUUCGAUGCAACGCGUAGAACCUUACCUACUCUUGACAUCCAGCGAAUCCUUUAGAGAUAGAGGAGUGCCUUCGGGAGCGCUGAGACAGGUGCUGCAUGGCUGUCGUCAGCUCGUGUUGUGAAAUGUUGGGUUAAGUCCCGCAACGAGCGCAACCCUUAUCCUUGUUUGCCAGCACAUAAUGGUGGGAACUCCAGGGAGACUGCCGGUGAUAAACCGGAGGAAGGUGGGGACGACGUCAAGUCAUCAUGGCCCUUACGAGUAGGGCUACACACGUGCUACAAUGGCAGAUACAGAGGGCAGCGAAGCUGCGAAGUGGAGCGAAUCCCUUAAAGUUUGUCGUAGUCCGGAUUGGAGUCUGCAACUCGACUCCAUGAAGUCGGAAUCGCUAGUAAUCGUGGAUCAGAAUGCCACGGUGAAUACGUUCCCGGGCCUUGCACACACCGCCCGU